UGGGGAAUCGUGGGCAAUGGGCGCAAGCCUGACCCCGCAAUGCCGCGUGAGGGAAAAAGCCCUUCGGGGUGUAAACCUCUGUCAGAUGGGAAGAUGGGACUAGGGGCUAAUACCUCCUGGUCUUGACGGUACCAUCAGAGGAAGGGACGGCUAACUACGUGCCAGCAGCCGCGGUAAUACGUAGGUCCCGAGCGUUGCGCGAUGUUACUGGGCGUAAAGCGUCCGUAGCUGGUUUCGUAAGCGGAUUGUCAAAACCCGAAGCUCAACUUCGGCAAGGCAUUCCGAACUGCGUUACUUGAGUCCUGUUCAGGUAGGCGGAAUUCCCGGUGUAGCGGUGAAAUGCGUAGAUAUCGGGAGGAACACCAGUGGCGAAGGCGGCCUACUGGGACGGUACUGACGGUCAUGGACGAAAGCUGGGGGAGCAAACCGGAUUACAUACCCGGGUAGUCCCAGCCGUAAACGAUGGAUGUUAGGUGUAGUGAUAACUUCGCUGCACCCCACCUAACGCGUUAAACAUCCCGCCUGGGGAGUACGGGCGCAAGCCUGAAACUCAAAGGAAUUGGCGGGGGCCCGCACAACCGGUGGAGCGUCUGGGUUUAAUUCGAUGCUAACCUAAAAACCUUACCAGGUUCGAAAUGGUAGGAAAGGCUGUCAAAAGACAGCUGUGUUUCCCUUUUGGGAGAAAUCCUACCACAAGUGGGGCAUGGCCGUCGUCAGCUCGUGUUGUGAGAUGUUGGGUUAAGUCCCGCAACGAGCGCAACCCUUGUCCUUAUUUGCUUCCUCGUAUGAGGUGCUCUAUAAGGAGACUGCCGGCGACAAGCCGGAGGAAGGAGGGGAGGACGUCAGGUCAGUAUGCCCUUUAUGCUGUGGGCUACACAGGCGGUACAGUGGCAAGGACAAUGAGUAGCAAGAGCGCAAGCUCAAGCUAAUCUCACAAACCUUGUCGUGGUGGAGGAAGAAGGUUGAAAAUCACCUUCAUGAAGCCGGAAUCGGUAGUAAUGGCGUAUCAGCUAUGUCGC
Molecule: ribosomal RNA, 1019 nt
Filed under: uncultured bacterium
Lineage: Bacteria
Description: bacterial SSU rRNA
Rfam family: Bacterial small subunit ribosomal RNA
Source: RNAcentral